Molecule: ribosomal RNA, 765 nt
Filed under: uncultured Streptococcus sp.
Lineage: Bacteria; Bacillati; Bacillota; Bacilli; Lactobacillales; Streptococcaceae
Description: bacterial SSU rRNA
Rfam family: Bacterial small subunit ribosomal RNA
Source: RNAcentral
GAUGAACGCUGGCGGCGUGCCUAAUACAUGCAAGUAGAACGCUGAAGCUUGGUGCUUGCACCGAGCGGAAGAGUUGCGAACGGGUGAGUAACGCGUAGGUAACCUGCCUCUUAGCGGGGGAUAACUAUUGGAAACGAUAGCUAAUACCGCAUAAAAGUCGGCAUUGCAUGAUGUUGACUUGAAAGGUGCAACUGCAUCACUAAGAGAUGGACCUGCGUUGUAUUAGCUAGUUGGUGAGGUAACGGCUCACCAAGGCGACGAUACAUAGCCGACCUGAGAGGGUGAUCGGCCACACUGGGACUGAGACACGGCCCAGACUCCUACGGGAGGCAGCAGUAGGGAAUCUUCGGCAAUGGACGGAAGUCUGACCGAGCAACGCCGCGUGAGUGAAGAAGGUUUUCGGAUCGUAAAGCUCUGUUGUAAGAGAAGAACGAGUGUGAGAGUGGAAAGUUCACACUGUGACGGUAACUUACCAGAAAGGGACGGCUAACUACGUGCCAGCAGCCGCGGUAAUACGUAGGUCCCGAGCGUUAUCCGGAUUUAUUGGGCGUAAAGCGAGCGCAGGCGGUUAGAUAAGUCUGAAGCUAAAGGCUGUGGCUUAACCAUAGUACGCUUUGGAAACUGUUUAACUUGAGUGCAGAAGGGGAGAGUGGAAUUCCAUGUGUAGCGGUGAAAUGCGUAGAUAUAUGGAGGAACACCGGUGGCGAAAGCGGCUCUCUGGUCUGUAACUGACGCUGAGGCUCGAAAGCGUGGGGAGCAAACAGG